This 479-nucleotide ribosomal RNA is filed under the name Pityokteines marketae. RNAcentral's name for it is "partial 16S ribosomal RNA". It matches the Rfam family "Bacterial large subunit ribosomal RNA", at positions 1797 to 2545 of the family's 2925-position model. The record is from RNAcentral. Lineage: Eukaryota; Metazoa; Arthropoda; Insecta; Coleoptera; Curculionidae.
CGCCUGGUUUUACAAAAACAUGUCUUUUAAAGAUAAUAAUUAAAGGUCAGGCCUGCCCAAUGAUUUUUAUUAAAUGGCCGCGGUAUUUUGACCGUGCUAAGGUAGCAUAAUCAUUAGUUUCUUAAUUGGAAGCUUGUAUGAAAGGUUUAAUGAAAAAAUAACUGUCUCAUUUUUAAUUUUUUGAAUUUUAUUUUUAAGUGAAAAAGCUUAAAUUUUUAUAGAAGACGAGAAGACCCUAUAGAGUUUUAUACAAAAAUUUUAAAUGGGUUGUUAAGAAUUUAAAGUCUUCUAAAAUUUUUAUAUUUAAUUGGGGUGAUUAAAAAAUUUAGUAAACUUUUUUUUAUUUUUUACAAUAAUGUUUGGUUAAAUGAUCCUAUUUUUUAGAUUAUAAGAGAAAAUUACCUUAGGGAUAACAGCGUUAUUUUUUCUGAGAGUUCUAAUCGAAGAAAUAGUUUGCGACCUCGAUGUUGGGAUUAAAA